GAAAAUCCAGCCAGUUCUUCCAUUCCUCCCUCACUUUCUGCUGCACUUCGACCUGACAGUCAAUGAAUAAAAGCAGCAGUGUUUAACUGCAGGACCAAGCAGAGAGAAGCCAACAAAGACUGUCACAAUUGCCGGUUUGGGUUAAAACAUUUGAAGGCAUCCAUCCUACAGAUUUGGCUGUGAUUAAGGAUCUGAAGCUCCUCGCUGCAGCGUCUAUUUUUCUAUCACCUGACUAAAAAUUUUGUUUUCCAAAGAUAA
Molecule: long non-coding RNA, 258 nt
Organism: Poeciliopsis prolifica (blackstripe livebearer)
Lineage: Eukaryota; Metazoa; Chordata; Actinopteri; Cyprinodontiformes; Poeciliidae
Exons: 4
Source: RefSeq, a predicted model, not a curated record